AGUGAACGCUGGCGGUAGGCCUAACACAUGCAAGUCGAACGGCAGCACAGUAAGAGCUUGCUCUUACGGGUGGCGAGUGGCGGACGGGUGAGGAAUACAUCGGAAUCUACUUUUUCGUGGGGGAUAACGUAGGGAAACUUACGCUAAUACCGCAUACGACCUACGGGUGAAAGCAGGGGAUCUUCGGACCUUGCGCGAUUGAAUGAGCCGAUGUCGGAUUAGCUAGUUGGCGGGGUAAAGGCCCACCAAGGCGACGAUCCGUAGCUGGUCUGAGAGGAUGAUCAGCCACACUGGAACUGAGACACGGUCCAGACUCCUACGGGAGGCAGCAGUGGGGAAUAUUGGACAAUGGGCGCAAGCCUGAUCCAGCCAUACCGCGUGGGUGAAGAAGGCCUUCGGGUUGUAAAGCCCUUUUGUUGGGAAAGAAAAGCAGCAGGUUAAUACCCCGCUGUUCUGACGGUACCCAAAGAAUAAGCAGCGGCUAACUUCGU
RNAcentral lists this ribosomal RNA (491 nucleotides) under uncultured bacterium. RNAcentral's name for it is "partial 16S ribosomal RNA". It matches the Rfam family "Bacterial small subunit ribosomal RNA", at positions 29 to 506 of the family's 1533-position model. The record is from RNAcentral.